This 468-nucleotide ribosomal RNA is filed under the name uncultured bacterium. Its description in RNAcentral is "partial 16S ribosomal RNA". It matches the Rfam family "Bacterial small subunit ribosomal RNA", at positions 28 to 507 of the family's 1533-position model. The record is from RNAcentral.
GACGAACGCUGGCGGCGUGCUUAACACAUGCAAGUCGAACGGAAAGGCCCUGCUCUUGUGGGGUGCUCGAGUGGCGAACGGGUGAGUAACACGUGAGUAACCUGCCCUUGACUUUGGGAUAGCUUCAGGAAACUGGGGCUAAUACCGGAUAGGAGCUCCUGCUGCAUGGUGGGGGUUGGAAAGUUUCGGCGGUUGGGGAUGGACUCGCGGCUUAUCAGCUUGUUGGUGGGGUAGUGGCUUACCAAGGCUUUGACGGGUAGCCGGCCUGAGAGGGUGACCGGCCACAUUGGGACUGAGAUACGGCCCAGACUCCUACGGGAGGCAGCAGUGGGGAAUAUUGCACAAUGGGCGGAAGCCUGAUGCAGCAACGCCGCGUGCGGGAUGACGGCCUUCGGGUUGUAAACCGCUUUCGCCUGUGACGAAGCGUGAGUGACGGUAAUGGGUAAAGAAGCACCGGCUAACUACGUG